GACGAACGCUGGCGGCGUGCUUAACACAUGCAAGUCGAACGGUGAAGCGCCUUCCCUUUUGGUGGGUGUGGUUGAGUGGCGAACGGGUGAGUAACACGUGAGUAACCUGCCCCCUUCUUCGGGAUAACCGCAUGAACGUUUGGCUAAUACGGGUUAUUCUGGUUCUGUCGCAUGUUGGGUUUGGGAAAGAUAUUGUUUCGGAGGGGGAUGUGCUCGCGGAUUAUCUGCUUGUUGGGGUGGUGUUGGCCUACGCAGGCGAUGACGAGUAGACGGGAUGGGAGGGUGGACGGCCCCAGGGGGACGGCGCGGCCGAGCAGACUCCGGGAGGAGGCAGCAGGGGGGAAUAUGGAACAGGGGGCGGAAGGCUGAUGCAGCGACGCGGCGUGGGAGAUGGAGGUCGGCGGGUUGUGAACCGCUUUCGGGAGUGAAGGAGGGCGGCCUCGUUUGUGGGUGGGUUGACGGUAGCUGGAUAAGAAGCGCCGGCUAACUACGUG
RNAcentral lists this ribosomal RNA (494 nucleotides) under uncultured bacterium. RNAcentral describes it as "partial 16S ribosomal RNA". It matches the Rfam family "Bacterial small subunit ribosomal RNA", at positions 28 to 507 of the family's 1533-position model. The record is from RNAcentral.